Molecule: ribosomal RNA, 253 nt
Filed under: uncultured bacterium
Lineage: Bacteria
Description: partial 16S ribosomal RNA
Rfam family: Bacterial small subunit ribosomal RNA
Source: RNAcentral
UACGUAGGGUGCAGGCGUUAAUCGGAAUUACUGGGCGUAAAGGGUGCGUAGGCGGUCGGGUAAGUCUGAUGUGAAAUCUCACAGCUUAACUGUGAAACUGCAUUGGAUACUAUCCGGCUCGAGGAAUGGAGGGGAGACUGGAAUACUUGGUGUAGCAGUGAAAUGCGUAGAUAUCAAGUGGAACACCAGUGGCGAAGGCGAGUCUCUGGACAUUUCCUAACGCUGAGGCACGAAAGCCAGGGGAGCAAACGGG